UGUCCCAGCAGCCGCGGUAAUACGGAGGGUGCAAGCGUUAAUCGGAAUUACUGGGCGUAAAGCGCACGCAGGCGGUCUGUCAAGUCGGAUGUGAAAUCCCCGGGCUCAACCUGGGAACUGCAUUCGAAACUGGCAGGCUAGAGUCUUGUAGAGGGGGGUAGAAUUCCAGGUGUAGCGGUGAAAUGCGUAGAGAUCUGGAGGAAUACCGGUGGCGAAGGCGGCCCCCUGGACAAAGACUGACGCUCAGGUGCGAAAGCGUGGGGAGCAAACAGGAUUAGAUACCCUGGUAGUCCACGCCGUAAACGAUGUCGAUUUGGAGGUUGUGCCCUUGAGGCGUGGCUUCCGGAGCUAACGCGUUAGAUCGACCGCCUGGGGAGUACGGCCGCAAGGUUAAAACUCAAAUGAAUUGACGGGGGCCCGCACAAGCGGUGGAGCAUGUGGUUUAAUUCGAUGCAACGCGAAGAACCUUACCUGGUCUUGACAUCCACAGAACUUUCCAGAGAUGGAUUGGUGCCUUCGGGAACUGUGAGACAGGUGCUGCAUGGCUGUCGUCAGCUCGUGUUGUGAAAUGUUGGGUUAAGUCCCGCAACGAGCGCAACCCUUAUCCUUUGUUGCCAGCGGUCCGGCCGGGAACUCAAAGGAGACUGCCAGUGAUAAACUGGAGGAAGGCGGGGAUGACGUCAAGUCAUCAUGGCCCUUACGACCAGGGCUACACACGUGCUACAAUGGCAUAUACAAAGAGAAGCGACCUCGCGAGAGCAAGCGGACCUCAUAAAGUAUGUCGUAGUCCGGAUUGGAGUCUGCAACUCGACUCCAUGAAGUCGGAAUCGCUAGUAAUCGUAGAUCAGAAUGCUACGGUGGAUACGUUCCCGGGCCUUGUACACACCGCCCGUCACACCAUGGGAGUGGGUUGCAAAAGAAGUAGGUAGCUUAACCUUCGGGAGGGCGCUUACCACUUUGUGAUUCAUGACUGGGGUGAAGU
RNAcentral lists this ribosomal RNA (982 nucleotides) under uncultured Klebsiella sp. Its description in RNAcentral is "bacterial SSU rRNA". It matches the Rfam family "Bacterial small subunit ribosomal RNA", at positions 504 to 1486 of the family's 1533-position model. The record is from RNAcentral. Lineage: Bacteria; Pseudomonadati; Pseudomonadota; Gammaproteobacteria; Enterobacterales; Enterobacteriaceae.